GAGGAUAUAGCUCAGUAGUGUAGUGCCUGCCUGGCAAGCACAAGGUCCUGAGUUCGAUUCCUGGUACUCUCA
This 72-nucleotide transfer RNA is filed under the name Cavia porcellus (domestic guinea pig). It matches the Rfam family "tRNA". Rfam says of the family: Transfer RNA (tRNA) molecules are approximately 80 nucleotides in length. Their secondary structure includes four short double-helical elements and three loops (D, anti-codon, and T loops). Further hydrogen bonds mediate the characteristic L-shaped molecular structure. tRNAs have two regions of fundamental functional importance: the anti-codon, which is responsible for specific mRNA codon recognition, and the 3' end, to which the tRNAs corresponding amino acid is attached (by aminoacyl-tRNA synthetases). tRNAs cope with the degeneracy of the genetic code in two manners: having more than one tRNA (with a specific anti-codon) for a particular amino acid; and 'wobble' base-pairing, i.e. permitting non-standard base-pairing at the 3rd anti-codon position. Lineage: Eukaryota; Metazoa; Chordata; Mammalia; Rodentia; Caviidae. The record is from Rfam by way of RNAcentral.